Sorghum bicolor (sorghum) is the source of this 4653-nucleotide RNA transcript. RefSeq lists it as uncharacterized. The transcript is spliced from 3 exons. The record is from RefSeq and is a predicted model, not a curated record. NCBI's taxonomy places the organism in Eukaryota, Viridiplantae, Streptophyta, Magnoliopsida, Poales, Poaceae.
CUCCCGCGCGCGCCACGUCGCCGUCGUCUUCCUCCCCCCCAACCCACCACUAUUUACCCCAGCGCCUCGUCGCCCCUCCCCUCAUCACAACUUGCCCCCCACCUUUCCCGUCCCGUCCUCUCGCUCGCCGCCGCGCGCGCCCGCGCGCUAGGGUUAGGGUUUCGUCGCAUCCCGGCCGCUCCGCUUCUCCCCGCGUGGGGCUCGUUCCGGUGGGAGGCAGGCCAUGGCGAUCGUGAGGACUGGAGCCGGCGUCCGGCUCCCUAGGCUUGACGGCGGCGAGGAGGCCUCGCCUGAUGCCACGGAGGACGAUGAGGAGGAGGAAUCGCAGUCGCGGGCCACGCCGUCGCAGGAGUCUGAGGCCGACGGCUUCUCCGCCGGCGGCGAGGACGACGACGAGGACAACGGUGGCGGCGGCGGAGGCGAGGAGCCGGAGGAGGUGGAGGAGGAGGAAGAGGAGGAUGAGCUCGAGGAAGAGGAAGAGGACGAGGGGGACUCGGGGAUGGGCUCCGACGAGCUGGACGUCGCGGAGCUUGGCGAGCCCGGCGCCGAGAUGUGCCAGGUCGGGGACCAGAGUGUGGCCGUGCCGCUGGAGCUCUACGACCUCGCCGGCCUUGGCGACGUGCUCUCGCUCGAUGCCUGGAACACCCUGCUCAGCGAGGACGAGCGGCUGCGCCUCGCCGCCUUGCUGCCCGACAUGGACCAGGAGACCUUUGCGCGCACGCUCGUCGAGCUCCUCGCGGGGCAGAACUUCCACUUUGGGAGCCCCCUUGCCGCCCUCUUUGAGCGCCUCAAGGGUGGGCUCUGCGACCCGAGGGUCAAUCUGUACCGCCGCGGCACCCGCUUCGCGGAGCGGCGCAAGCAUUACUACUGGCUGCAGAGCUACCACAACUCCAUGGUGCGCGGGCUCCGGGAGAUCAAGAAUUGCUGGAAGGGCCGCGAGGGAUACAGCCUUGAUGAGAGGCUGAGGAUGUUGGACACAAUGAAGGCACAGCAGCAGCAGCAGCAGCAGAGAAAAGCUCUAGAUUCGGCGAGACGGGCUGGAUCAGAGACUGAUUCCGAGAGCAGGGGGUCUGGGGAACAGGUCUUAGCUCGGUUCAAGCAUGAUAAGAGUGGACAGAAGAAGGCAGGGAAGUUAGUGAAAGAGAAGUCGAAGGGGCUGCUGCGAGUGGGCACACCCAAAGGAGUGGAUGAGGAGUACAUGGGGGGGUCUGGCCACGAUGCUGUGGUGGCACUCUCUGAGCUUUCUCGUCAAGAUAAUAAUGCAUAUGGGUAUGAUUCGGGCGUGCAUAGAGGGAAACAUCACAGGAGCAUAGACGGCCUUUACUCGGAUGACCUAGGAUAUGAAAGGGAUUCGUCAAGAUCUCGGUUUCCGAGGCUGCUGCCCAAGCCAGUGAAGAAGAAGGAAGUGACUACGAGCUAUGAUGGCAAUCUGUAUGGAAAUAACUACAGUGAUAACCAUACUGCCUCUCCUUACUACUAUGGCAGGAAUCCCAGUGCUAAUCAGGGAGUCACCUUAGCAGCAGCAUAUGAUCCUCCAUAUUUUGACACAAGAAGGAAUGCAAGGUACUCAGAGAGAGACUGGGUACAAGGUGGAAAAGGUGUGCACACUAAUAAAGCUCAAAUGGGUGAUGAGAUGAACUGGCCAUCUGGUACCCACACUGGUAACUUAGAUGACUGGCAGAUGGGGCAGUCUGCGGGUGAUUACAGGAGCAGGAAAGAUCAAGCUGGUUAUGGCCUGAAGGUUAAGUCGUAUAAAAGUAUUGAGCAACAGGUUAAUGAUGCCCGUGUUGGUUCUGACCCUAGAAGCAAGAUAUCACAGGCGAAGAUGGCAGGUAAAUCCAGUACACAACUAGAUAGGACUGGCCAGAAGCACUCCAGGAGCAAUGCUGUCUAUGCUCAAAGUGAGGAGACAGAAUCUGAUUCAUCGGAAAAGUUUGAAGAUGGCGGCGAAGUGCAUUAUCUCGAACGGAAGACAGAGCGUCACCAUUCUGGGUAUCAUAAACCAGCACAUGGUGCCAAAAAGUCAAACAAGCUUCCUAAAGUGGCAAAAAUGAACUAUCCUACUGCUGAUGCAGAUUUAGAACCCUCCCAGAGCAAAGGGUUCAAAGGGAAGGUUUCAGAGACUGGUUAUUUACGUGAUGUGGAUGUGAUGAUGACAGAACAGAUUAGUGAUGUCAUAAAACCUCCUGCAGCAAGUGGUGAAAGGAAACGGAAAGGGGUGGCAAAUCUGGACAUGCAUGUUUAUGAUAACUCCGAUCUGCAUGAAGUCAAUGAAAAUGCAAAUGACUCAUCCAGGUUGGUGGAGAAUGAAAAGCUUGCUAGUAGAUCAGGUUAUGCAGUCCAAGAUUCUAAUGGUGAUCAUGGUGGUACUGAAAGAAUCAGCUCUAGCUCCAAAAAAGCAAAAGGAAGAGUCGAAGUUCCUAGCCUGGAUGAGCAUGGUGAGCAUUUGUCAUCUGGCCCAAAGGUUGUUGAGAACAUUGGUGGAUCCAAGAAGAAAAGCAAAAAGAAGCCAGAGAGCAGCACCACAGAUGCAGUUAUUUUAGCAGAACCAGCUGCUGCUGUACCUGAAAAUAAUGUGGUAGCUCCAGAGCCUGAGAAGCCUGAGAAGGUUGAGAAGCCCAAGAAGAAGUAUGUACCGAUAACACCAACGAUCCAUACUGGUUUUUCGUUCUCUGUUGUACAUCUAUUAACUGCCGUAAAGAAGGCUAUGGUCACUCCUACUGAGGAUACUCCAGCCACAGUGAAGCAACCAGAUGGAGAGGACAAAAAAUGGUUCAACAGUGAAGAACGCAGCAAAACGCCUCACCAAGAACAAAGUACAACAGAUCAAGCUGAACAGGUCCUUGAGGGUGCAAAUGCCAGUGCUGCAGAACAUGAGGGUGCAAAUGCCAGUGCUGCAGAGCAAACUGUACCAAUCAAUGCACCGGCGCUUACUGUUCAAGAGAUCGUCAAUCGAAUUAGAGCAAAUCCUGGAGAUCCUAGGAUACUUGAAACACAGGAGCCCCUCCAGGAUUUAGUUCGAGGAGUAUUGAAAGUACUUUCAUCUAGAACAGCUCCUCUAGGUGCAAAGGGCUGGAAAGCAUUAGUUGCCUAUGAGAAGUCAAACAAAAGUUGGUUCUGGGUUGGUCCAGCACCUUCUAUUUCAUCAUAUGAUGACCCUGAUGAAGAAACUUCUGCUGAAGCAUGGAGUAUACCGCACAAGAUGCUUGUUAAGUUGGUUGAUGCAUUUUCUAAUUGGCUGAAAAGUGGCCAGGAAACCCUUAAGCAGAUAGGUUCCCUUCCAUCACCUCCACCACCAAAUCCUGCAAACUUGGAUUUGAAGGAAAGGUUCAAGGAGCUUAAAGCACAGAAAAGUCUGAACACAAUAAGCCCAAGCUCAGAUGAAGCAAGGGCAUAUUUCCAGCGUGAGGAAUUUUUGAGGUACUCAAUACCUGAUAGAGCAUUUUGCUAUACUGCUGCUGAUGGGGAGAAGUCUAUAGUUGCUCCCUUGAGAAGAGGAGGUGGAAAGCCAACAGCGAAAGCGAGGGGUCACCCCAUGCUCUUACCUGAUCGACCGCCACAUGUCACUAUCCUCUGUCUUGUAAGGGAUGCUGCGUCUAGGUUGCCUGCAAGAACUGGAACUAGAGCCGAUGUCUGCACACUACUCAGGGAUUCACAAUACCUAAACCAUGAAGAAGCCAAUAAAGAGGCUGCAAUUAAUCAAGUUGUCAGUGGAGCUCUGGAUCGUUUGCAUUAUGAACGUGACCCUUGUGUGCUAUAUGAUAAUGACAAAAAAUUGUGGACCUAUCUGCACAGGGGCAGGGAGGAGGAAGAUUUUGAGGAUGAUGGCACAUCAUCUACAAAGAAAUGGAAGAGACCAAGGAGGGAUAUCUCUGAUCUUGCAGAGUCAGGUGCAGCAAACGAUGAUAUUGAUGACGAUGGCACUGGCACCCCUUCAGCAUGCAAUGCAAAAAAACAAAAGACAGACCAUGGAGAUACAUUGUCAGGAGAAGCUAACGACGAGGGAAAUCAUCCUACUCAAAAUCCUUCUUCUGGUGGCCUGGAAGGUGAUCCUGAUCUUAAUGCUGUUCCAUCAUCAAAAAAUUAUGAAGAAUCAGGUGGAGUUGUUUACAUUGAUGCAACACCAGAUGAUGGUGGCUCGACUUCAAUAGAUGCAAAACCAGGCAGCAGGGCUGAUGACAGUACAGCAAGUUGGCAGUCACUCCCAGAACAGAACAAAACCAAUACGGCGCUUCCUGAGAACACCAGCAUGGAUGCCACCUCACCAUGAAUAAGAACAUAUCACGGUUCAAUCAGCUAGAAAUGUGUUGAAGGGGUCAGCAUAGGAUAGAAGACGGGCAUUCAUUUUCUUGUUGCUAUUAUACAUAUAUAUAUGCACCUGUGACACCAUAGCAGAAACUGCUGUACGAGGCUUUGACUCUGCCAAAACCAAUCUUUUGUAGUUGAGAUAGCUUGUACAUUCUUGCCAUAAUUUAAAUGGGCUCCUGUAGUUUGCCUUUUUUUUCCCCUAGUGGUGCUGCUGCUGCAGCCGUAGCAGCUGUGACACACUUCUAAUCUUAAAGUUAUUAUUAGGCAUUUUAUGUGUUAUAUGUGUGUUCACGUUUGGAUGAUGAAAUGAAAUGUCUGUCGAUAAUGGAUGAUUCCUUCCGUUUA